RNAcentral lists this small RNA (5098 nucleotides) under Rattus norvegicus (Norway rat). RNAcentral's name for it is "uncharacterized LOC103694034". Lineage: Eukaryota; Metazoa; Chordata; Mammalia; Rodentia; Muridae. The record is from RNAcentral.
CUCCCCCGGACCUUGUAAAAUUUCUAAUCAAGAGACUCAGUGAGUCAGUCAGCCCACCACGUGACUCCUGCAGAAGAUUCAGCCCAUUGAAGCGAGUGGGAGCUGAGCGGGCCACCACUCAGCCCUACUUCUUCACACCCAGCACCUACCCUGGGGUUACACUACAAGCAGUUUCUGCGAACUCCCUCUGAGGUCGGAAAGAUACACAGCCCUCCCUCCUGGGUACCGCUUAUUCCCUUCCCCACUUCCUUAUUAAUGACAGGCACAUCCCUGGAGCCACCAGCUCAGCUCCGCCUCCCUUCCAGCGCAGCCUCUGAUUGGACCUCUGUCUGGCUCCUCCCACUUCUUCCCCAGACCAGCCUCUGGCAUUAGCUUGCCCUCACCCUCCUUGAAGGUCGGGUGCUCCACUACUGGAGGUAGAAGGGUGGAAUUGCGCUUGUUUUGCCCUACUUCAAAUACUUUUUGGGGGGCUGCGUGAGACUAUGAAGAAAUACUGGGGGAGUAGGCCAUGGGCCUUUCUAGCUUGAGACCCGGGCCUGCAGCUCGGACCCUCUGAGAACCUCAUGAAAGCAUUCCAGGAUGUAAUAAACCCGUCAAGCCUCGGCUAAUUUAUAUGGAAGCAGAUGAUUUCCCAUUUUUUAGAAUGUAAAUGUUUACAUUGUAGCAUUCCCCUGCCCCCGGCAUCCGGGGCCCUGGCACGUCAGUGAUGGAAUCAGCCGCUUCUCCUCGGGGAUCCUUAGAUGGAAGCGUCACGAUGCCAAGAAGCGUCCCGCUUUCAGCCAGCCCGGGUGUGCAAACCCCGCACCAAGGAAGGCCACCAAGCGUUUGCUUAAUGUUACCAAGUUCCACGUGGCUCUUACAGAGGAGAAGUAGCACUUUUAAGGGUAAGCCUCAGAACAGAGGGUGCAAUUCUGACUAUGUAGCUUCCCAAGGUCUCUUUGCUACACUUCUCUCCUCUAAGACAGUCAAUUCCUUACGAGCUCUAAUGUAUUAGCUUUAUAUGGGAGUUUUGUGUUGUAGAAAUAGUGACUAGCAUAGAUGGGUGGGAAACCUUGACAACAAUCCAAGGAAAUUAUGCUUUAGCUCAUAGACCCCCUGAGUGCCCUACUACCCCUCUGUGUGCAGGUCUGCUUGAGGCUAAGAACCCUGCCCUUUAACACUCUGGGUGUCUGUGAACAAGUGCAACUCCUAGAAAAGGGUUCGCCACUUGGUCAUAAGCCCCAGAAACUACAAAGGUCUCCUUGGAUCCCUGUGAGAGCAAAGAGCCACUGCGAUUCGUGCCACUGGUCACCCAGGCACGCCUGGGGUUCUGGUGCCUGCUCCAUUAGACAAGCGCAUGUUCUGUUCAAUAGGAGCCAUAUAUGCUACCUGGACCUUUAGCUUCCUCACUGGCCAAGUGAGGAAGUAUGUCUGACCCUCCCCACCUCUAACAAAUAGUGAGGGAGAAGUAAAAGCCCUUCCCCCACCCAGGAGUGGGAAAAGAUACAGCACCUUGGAACCCUGGUCCUUCGGUUACUACCAUGCCGGACUGUGUGUCCUUGGGUAAGUGACUCACCUCUCUGUGCUCCGUGUUCUUUAAGAUGACGAGAUACUAAACUAUAGUAGCAAUCUCCUAGCUACUAAUAAUUGCCAGGUGCUGAGUUUUUCACUCCCUGGUCUACAGAGCAGUCAGUGAGGGUAUCUGAGACUGGACCAUCUGCCUGGCAAACAAUGCUUGCCGGCUGGCUGGUGGCAGACAGUGCUCAAGGACUGGAGAAGGCGGGUGUGACCCAGGGGCAUUCUUGCACUCAAGAGAUCCUGUGCCUCACCCCGCCCCCCAUCAGAUCAAUGGAUCAACUGUAACUGUGAUGUACCUGACCACCGUUCUCCAUACCUGCUCUCAGAAUCCAUGGCAAAAACAGGGGUCAGCCCCCUCUCCAGCUGAACUAGGUCACCUGAGGACACAGUUUCCAGGGAAAACAUCUGAGUGAGCCUCUCCAGUCCAUCUCAGCCUUGCUGGGGUCUAAAGCUCAUGGCAGCCCGAGACCCCAUAGCCACCAGUGCAGAAGACCAAGCCCACUGUCUCCAUCAACCUGAAGCCUGUCCAGAGCUCAGCAGGUAGCCCUCCUCCUGCUUCUAAGAACCAAGCGUCAUUCGGUCAGCUUAGAGCCAUUUCUCUUCCUCCAGGGAAAUGCAAUCGACUAAGGGCCCUUCCCUACUCCACCCCCAGGUCUCCCCAGCCUUGUAACCUGAGUGCCCCCCAAACACUUUCUGGCAGUUUCUGCUCCAGCCAGCUCUAGACCUGCUAGAGAUUCUCUUGUUUUUAUCCUAGUGACUGUGAGUGGCAUCUCUGGCCCCAGCCUUGGUGGGAUUUAAUGAGCUAGGCUACAUCACAGUGCCCACCGAAGCCACUGAAACCUCCCUUCUACCUAGGAUGACGCCACAUCCUGCCUUUUCCCAAGCAGCUCCUGGCCUUGCCUACCCAGGCUCUCCCUCCUCUCUGGUACAGCCUGCUCAAAGAAGGGCCAAGAAGUACAGCCUUCACAGGGCUCUCAACGAACCCCUGGGUGGAAGGCAGAAUGGAAUCCUCUUUGGACCUGUGUCCACGUUAUGGGUCAUAAAGGCCUUUAUGUGCCUAUAAAGCAGAAUUCCUGCAAAGCCUUUCCAUUCCAACAUGCUACCUGCAGUAAACUGCCGCUGUACACACACAGCCCUCAUGACCGACAGGGUCUACACACGUGCACGCCACCAGUGUCACCUGCAUCCACCUGGCUAGGAAGGGCUGCCAGGGGGCAGGGGAGUCUUAGUCCCAGCCCUGGCACCUGAUCUGGGUCUGUUGCCCCAUCUCAGUGAGUAAGAUUUCCUGCCUGGAGCCCCACCAUAACCACAGCUCAGACAUCAAACUAGCGUAAAACUCACUUUCCACUUUAUCUAUCCAUUCAGUGUCGGGUCAUUCGCUGAAGCACAGAGACAAGUCACAUGCCAACUCCUACAGCUGGGUCCCUGUGUCCCCCUCCUCAGGGUGAGUCUCCUGACCCUAACUUCCCAUCGACAGCAGUCUGGAAGCCCAAAUCCUACUCAAUGACCAGCACACAGUAGGUACUUAAGAUCAGCAGAGAAGUAACAAGGAAUCCGCUAGUUCAGCCUCCAAAGCAGAGCCUCCAUGUGUAGGGGCAGAAGAAAGGGACCUCAUUUUUUGUCCUUUGUGCAAAUUAACAAUGAUGGCUCUACAGGGCAAGAGACAUUGCUUAUGACAACUGAGGCUCAACUUCAAGCUCACCCCCCACAAGAGAGCACCUGGACGCCUCUCCGAAGAGCAACAAAUACACUUUGGAGAGUGCCGGGGAUUGCCAGGAGCGCCAACUACAUUUCCAGCCUGACACCCAGCUGCAACAAAGCAGAUUCCUUUCUUCCCUUCUCUCGAAAAGCCUAAUCCAGAUAAGCCGGACCGACAAUGGCUGCCUGGCCACGAAAGACUUCCCUUUCCCGGGUGAUGGGACUCACACCUGGUGACAUCAGCCUGGCACAGUUCUAAGUGUAGGGGUGGCCAAACACCAGCUCCCAAUGCUUCCGCACCCAAAGCCCCAGCUUCAGCCAAGAGCGACUGCCCUUCCCCUUCCCCCCACAUUGCCAGUCUAGGACUAACCUACCCAGCAACAUCAGGACAGCAGGACAAUUCCGAAGGGUAGGUACUAGGUGACGUGGUCAUAUCUUUAGCUACUGGGAAGCCAAAAAAACACUGGCAGGGCUGGCCUUCUGCUAAUGUGGCUGGAUUGUUCCCCAGAGUUUCCCAGAGGAGUGGGUCCUGGGUCUGUUGAUCUAGAACAUUCUUUUCUGUGGUCUGACUCCUGCCAAAUUCUCCCAGGAUGUGACCCCUGCCAUCAGAUGACUGAGAACAGAUGGCAAACCCUGUGACUCUCCUAAGACCCUAACCUCACGUGGACAGGCUGAACUACUUGUCGCCAUCUUGAGAUCACUGCCCAGAGACCCUCUUUUCAUGUCUUCCUCCAGGGAGCUGGCUCUAGUCUGUGUUUGGAGAAAGAGGGGGACAGGCAGCCUGUCAGGAAUACCUUUCCACACAGGUGAAUCUUUCCACACGGUCGCACCAGGAUUCGGGUGACCUCAAAUGCAAACCUUAAAUGGCUCCCAUACCUCAAUAGCCUUCAUCUCUGCGUGUCUGACAUAGGCAGCGUACUUCAGAAACUAUGGCUCCAAAGGCAAGCUAAGAGGGACAGAGAUCCCAGGUGGGCAGGGACGGGAGCCGGUGUCAGUCGUCAAGAGCACCAUUCUGCCAUCAGACCCACAGCUUCCACCCCGCCACCACCAACUGCUGUACUGACCGCUGUUGCUGCAAAAGCACCACAAGUCCCUGGGACCCAAGGUACUGACCCUGAAGUGACGCCUGAGUGACAGUAGCUCCUUGUCCAAGCCCCUUGACUGCUACGUUAAGGUAUGUGGUCAGUGGAGGAAAGAAGAAAGAUGCUUCCCCAGGGCAGGGGAGUAAAUAGCCAAAGGCCAUGUUGUCCAUGAGGUACAGUCUGCCCGAGCCAGCAGACUUGAAUGGAGAUUGAAUUUGGAGAACACGGCAGGAAGCAGGGGUCUGUGACUAUCGGGGUGAUUGCCGCUGUACUUUGCUUUGUCUUUAGCCAUGGAAGCUUCUGGAUAGAAAAACCAAACCCAGAAUUGUCACCGAGAGACAGAGUUAGCUGAGGCAACUGUAACAGUAAAGACAGAAGCGUUGGAAGAGUAUAGAGUGGUCAGGCAGAAGGCUCGAGGGGCAGGCCAAAGCUGCCCAUGGUUGAGGGAUGAGAUGGAGGGGAAGGGAGUGGUCUGGAGAGAAGAGACGGACCUUAACGAGGCUCGCGGCGGCAGGGGAGCAGGUCCAAGCACCAGACUGGGAUGCCCGGGAGAUUCCUAUCUCAGAGCACUUCAGCCUAGGAAGCUAUGGACCACAAGGAUGUCUAGAGCUCCCUACUCAGCAUGGAGUAUGUUUCACAGCAGAUAUUCUUCUACAGGUGCCAAGGUCAGGAGAAGACUGAGAGACACUGUGACAUGUCUCUUCCUCCUCCAAAUGCCUACCAGACCAAGCAUGGACAAGUGCACACCACACACACCUACC